AUUGAACGCUGGCGGCAGGCUUAACACAUGCAAGUCGAGCGGGGUGAUGGUGCUUGCACUAUCACUUAGCGGCGGACGGGUGAGUAAUGCUUAGGAAUCUGCCUAUUAGUGGGGGACAACAUCUCGAAAGGGAUGCUAAUACCGCAUACGUCCUACGGGAGAAAGCAGGGGAUCACUUGUGACCUUGCGCUAAUAGAUGAGCCUAAGUCGGAUUAGCUAGUUGGUGGGGUAAAGGCCUACCAAGGCGACGAUCUGUAGCGGGUCUGAGAGGAUGAUCCGCCACACUGGGACUGAGACACGGCCCAAACUCCUACGGGAGGCAGCAGUGGGGAAUAUUGGACAAUGGGGGGAACCCUGAUCCAGCCAUGCCGCGUGCGUGAAGAAGGCCUUAUGGUUGUAAAGCACUUUAAGCGAGGAGGAGGCUCUUUUGGUUAAUACCCAAGAUGAGUGGACGUUACUCGCAGAAUAAGCACCGGCUAACUCUGUGCCAGCAGCCGCCGUAA
RNAcentral lists this ribosomal RNA (503 nucleotides) under uncultured bacterium. RNAcentral's name for it is "partial 16S ribosomal RNA". It matches the Rfam family "Bacterial small subunit ribosomal RNA", at positions 30 to 523 of the family's 1533-position model. The record is from RNAcentral.